This is a non-coding RNA of Mycena rebaudengoi, 77 nucleotides long. Lineage: Eukaryota; Fungi; Basidiomycota; Agaricomycetes; Agaricales; Mycenaceae. The record is from the annotation of a GenBank genome assembly.
GCCCUCGUGGAUGAGAUGGUACAUCACCUCCGAGUUUUAGAGCACGUAAGGCGGGGGUUCGAAUCCUCCCGAGGACA